Molecule: long non-coding RNA, 6386 nt
Organism: Brassica napus (rape)
Lineage: Eukaryota; Viridiplantae; Streptophyta; Magnoliopsida; Brassicales; Brassicaceae
Exons: 2
Source: RefSeq, a predicted model, not a curated record
AGAGAGAGAGAGAGACAGACAGACAGACAGAGAGAGAUAGAGACAGAGAGAGACGGAGAGAGAGACAAAGAAUUAUCAAAAUUACCUGAUUGGAGCCAAGCAGAGGAGACGUUCUUCGCGGGAGAGACAAGGGAUUUUUGUUUAGGGUUUCAAAUUGGUUUUAAUCGGGUCUUCAAUCAGGUUUAUUAGACCCAAUUGAAUUAGGUUCAUUUAAUCCGAUUUAUUUUCUCUAAUCGGGUCAUUUAUGGUUUAGUUAAGUUAAACAUUGGUUAAGUUCAGGUUUAGGUAACACUAACCAACUUUAAACCGCUAUUUGUUGGUAUCAGUUCGUCCUUUAAAUUUUAGGUAGAAACGGGUUUCAAACUAUUAUCGUGUGUGGAAAUUGGUUGUGAUAGUUAUAAGGUGUGCAAUUACGACGAGGUUGAAAGAUUGUGUACAUUUGUUACUAUAUGAUAGUUCUGGUGUGGAAAUACGUCGUCUUCCCAAAAAUACCCAUUGAUUUUGUUUCCAUGUUUUUGUUUUAUUUUCUUGACUGUAGGACCGACCAAUUUAUAUAAGUUAAACAAUUUGGAAUCACAACAAUGUAAUACCUAAGCUAUUCAUUUUAUCUAAUAUUUAUUUGACAAAAAAAAAUAUAAUAUUUAUAUUAUUUAUUAUUAACCAGAAAGGCAUGAUUAUACUUUUUAAAAGAACUUUGAAAUUUAAUUAGUUGAAUGGAAACUCGACUGAUAGUUCGAUUGGAAUCAUAAUCUUUUUAAAACGCAUUAGAAAUAAUUUUUGAAAAUGUUAUUUUGAAAACGCGAUGGAUACUAACGUUUUUAUCUUAAAUACUCGCUAUCAUAUUUUAAAAACGUGAAUUUUUUUUAUUUUUAUUUUAAAAAUAUGUAAAUAAUUAAGGGUGAUUUUUCUCAAUAUUCAUAAGAGCUAAAAAAAUUAAGAAUAUAGCCAUUGAAUAGUUGAUGUGACAAUUAGAGCCAAAAACUUGACAUUUUUCUCCUUCCACUCUAGUACGCGUGAGUAUAUGCGCGUCACAUUGUGUGGCAAACAUAACUGAAAUAUACUAUAUUAUAAACCAUAUAAUAUAGUCGAAGUAUUAAUACAAAUAUACAUGGUGAAAAGAGAAACAUGUUACAAACGUUAACAAAAAUACCACACCAGCAAUAAUAUUCUAGAUUAUACAAUAUACAAGUUAGUCAAAGCAGAAACACACCAAAGCAUCUACCAAAUUUCUUAUGCUACCAGUCAUAAUAGAAUGAAACCAAAAAACUAAAAUUUAGUUUAUCUUCUUAGAUCAUUUUGUAAGUAAUAGCAGUAAAAGUGAAGGUAUAAAUAAGAGCGGCGGAUGAAGAUAUGUCGUUGUUGCUACGUAAAGUAAAAGAGAAGAAUAUGUGGUGGGGGGAUGAAAAGAACCUACACUGGAGGUGGAAUAGAUGACAAGUGGUGACAAUGGUCGAAGAGAAGAUGGCGGCAGCGACAAAACAAUCAUUAAUAGUGAUGGUAACAAUAAUAGAAUCGAGGUGAAUGAAGAAGAAAAACAAAAAAAAAAAGAAAAGAAAAAAAGAGUGAGUUAGAUAUGAUGUUGCACAAUUUGGGAUAUAGAAUAACCCAAAGCGGGACAGAAGGUUAGCCGAUACUAUACUAUAAAAGUAUGUAUUAUAGUAUUUACUAACGUAAACAAAACAUCUUACCUACUUAAUUCACUGGGGUACAUAAAUGACGCUGCCAUUGUGUCAUAUAGGGUGGUCGAAUGUGUUAUCUUCCGACGGAAGAAACACAAGAAACUACUUCGAACCGUAAGGAGAUCAUAAUUGUGGAAUUUAGUAUAGCAUACCCAUAUAUAAGCUAGUUGUUGCGUAAGCAGUUGAAAGUUAUUCUAUACUAUCAAUAAUAGUAUAGAAAUGACCCAACUGGUAUAUAAUACAUAUGAAACCUGAUAUUAGGUAUGGUGUCCGAAUAAAUAUGAGAAAAAAAGACAAAAACAUUUAUGUAGAAGUCUAGUUUGGCUGCUGAAAAGCAUAAGUUUGACGUCCAAUAGGAAGAUGAAUAAAAACACUGUUAUAAAUGAAUGUCAAUUGAUAAACAAGUCGUUAGCGUUGUACUUAACCGUACAUAACUUCCGAAAUAAUACACAAAUUGAGAUGCACACCACAGUAAAAAUGGAGAUAUUAGUAGCAAAGCUUAGUAAAAACGAAAACCUAUAAGUAGCAUAUGAGUAGAGAAAACUCUAAGGGGUUCCAUCCAACAUAUAAUUACGGGAGUUGGUCUGGGUGAAGGCCGAGAAGGCUGCAACUGUAUGUCUUCGCUACAACUACAAGUGACGCAUAAUGAGUUUUCACACCAUCAAAGACAAUCAUGGAAGCGCAUAUGUAUAUAAAUCACACUAUACUAUCAUGUCAGAUGGUAUAGUACAUGACUGAUUCAAACAAAACAAACAACACAACUAUGCCAUUACAGAUUUAUAAUAACAUUAAUGAACAACCCAUGUAAACAUAUGUUCAUUUGAACAAAAAAAAUAACAAUAAAACCAUUCAUGUUUUACAGUUUAGGCAGGACAUUCAAGACUUACAUAACAACAUGCAUGAAUGCAUGCAUAUAGAGAUAUGAUUAUGUAACAUAUUGAAAUCAUAUGUCACUUUCCAACAUACUUGAAAUGGAUAUUACAGACACUAUUGUGUUACAUCUACCCUUACCAUAAAUAUAGUCACAACACAAAAUUUUCUAAUAGACUCCUACAUUUCACACAUAGGCUAAUGCCCUUGCACAUCAAAUAACACAAUAAUGAAAGUACAAAUGAAUAUAGUUCGAAACUCACCUAAACAUAAAACCUAUUUCAAAUGUUACCGGAUAACUAUACUAUUUAAUUUAUUCAUAUAGUAUAGGCAUCUCUUACAAAUCACUAUUCAUUGUCUCCCCCACAACCCAAUCCCACAACCAUAUGUUCUCCAUCAGAUGUUUCAAUAGACAGUUUUACACUUGGCUAGUUCCCGGGAAAUCGGCUAAUUCCUACAUCAACAAGGAUCAACGGUCCCGAUCAGUACAUAAACAUGUUACCUGUGCGAAAACAUACAUCAACUAGUACAAAAUUUAAUUUUCAUACAUGAACUUUCAAAAUUUGGUUUUAUCAUACAUUGACCUAAUUUCCGUUAGUCAAACGUUGAGUUGUCGUUAACCGGUAAUAGAAAACCGGCUAAUUCCUACAACAACAGGGACCAAUGAUACAUAUCAAUACAUAAACACUUUACUUGUGCAAAAACAUACAUCAACUAAUACAAAAUUCAAAUUCAAUACAUGAACUUUUGAAAUCUGGUUUUAACAUACGCUAAAGCUUGAUAUUUACCUAACUUCAACUAGUCAAAUAAUAUCGAAGAUAAAUUGUCCGUCACGUAUUGAUUAAGUAAGGUUUUUAAUGUAUUAUGUGGUAAUUAAACUGUAUUACGCGGUAAUUGAAUGAGAAAAAUAAAUCAUGUAUGUCAAACGAUUUUUUUUGUGUGUAAUUUAUUAGUUAGUUUUUCUCUUUAAUUUUUUCUUCAACUUUUACGACAACAGAAAACACUAACACCAAAAAAAUGAAAGAAGACAAAAUUGAACAAAGAGAAAAGAGAAUUUCUUCGAUAAGCUAAACAUUUUCAUUUCUCUCUGUCAAUUACUACGUACUAUGGUUUAAUUAUCACAUAAUACAAUAAAAAACUUUACUUAAUCAAUACAUGACAUACCAUUUAUUUUCGGUAUUAUUUGACUAGUGGAAAUUAGGUAAAUCUAUUUUAUUAAAUUUAAUUACAAAAUAAAACUAACACUAUUUUCAACAGAUUUAUUACAUCUUUUCUUUCCUUAUUUUCACUCAACUUAACUACUUUAUUAAUUGCAUUUUUUUCAAAUAAUUUGACAGCAUGUCUUAUAAAAAUAUAAAACAGAACUUACCUAUUUUUAAGUGUUUUAUUAUAUCUUUUACAUUUUUUUAUACUUCUUAACUACUUCAUUAAGAUAUGGAUAUCAAGUAUACGGUUGGGUAUGGAUUGGUUCUUUCGGAUAUCAAAUUUUUUUAGGUUUUAAAAUUAUGCUUUGUUCGGGUAUUAUAAAAUUUUGGGUGAGAUUCGAAUAGGGUCUUUCAGAUCCGGAUGGCUUUGGUUUUUAUGUAUAGGAACAUAAUAAUUAACAAAAAUUUAUAUAUUUAGGAAUGUCACUAAACAAUUUAUAAAAAAAUUAACAACAAAUAUCCGCACGGACGCGCAUGUCAAGCUUUAGUGUAUGUUAAAAACAGAUUUCGAAAGUUCAUGUAUUGAAUUUAAAUUUUGUAUUAGUUGAUGUAUGUUUUUGUACAGGUGAAGUGUUUAUGUAUUAAUCUGGACCAUUGAUCACUGUUGAUGUAGGAAUUAGCCGAUUUUCUGUUACUGGUUAACGACAGCUCAACGUUUGACUAACGGAAAUUAAGUCAAUGUAUGAUAAAACUAAAUUUUGAAAGUUUGCGUAUGAAAAUUAAACUUUCUAGUAGUUGAUGUAUGUUUUCGCACAGGUAACAUGUUUAUGUACUGAUCGGGACCGUUGGUCCUUGUUGAUGUAGGAAUUGGCCGAUUUCCCGCUAGUUCCCCUUUUCAUGCUAAAAUAUUCAACUCAUGCAUGUAGUUCCCCAAUUUUACAUUUUUCCUCUUCCUCUGUUACUCCCUUCACACCGGAACAACGGCUACAAUUUAAUUGCAAAUCUGGAUUCAUCAGAAACUAAUGAUUUGUCAACUUAUCUGCAACCCUAACUUUUUGAUUGCCGCCUCACAAAGCUCGGAAACACUGUUUUGCGAUUCGUAACCACUUCUUACACACUCUAUUGCAAUUUCAAAAUUCUGUUUUUUUAUCUCGCAUGCUUGUGUUUUAACAGAAAAACUGCAUUUUUAGUUUCCUAGUUAAACAAAAAAACCAAACUAUCUACUUUGCACGCGUAAAUAAGGAUAUUUUCGGAUAAUUACAAAACAUUAUAUAAUAUAUAAUAGCCAUGUCGAUUCUUAUGGUUAUACACUUAAUUUUUUGUUUUUUUAUGGUCAUGCCCCCUAAUUUCUCAAUAAUUAAUAAAUAUAGAAAAAUAUUUUUUAUUUUGAUAAGUUUUAUGGAAUGAUAACAUUGUUGGUCUUUUUUACUCUUUGAUAAAAAGUAUAUAAAUUACAAAGAGAAACAAUACUUUUUAUUAAUGGGCUUCUCUCUUAGAUAAACUAUAUAGAAAAUAAUAAUAAUAAUUCAUAUAUUAAUCAAUUGUGUGUGUGUGUAUAUAUAGAUGUUUCUAAAAUGUUUCUGUUUGUUUUUCUUAAAAAAAAUAAAUAUCACGUUUUUACAUUUGGAAAUGUUUUCUUUCCGUAUAUUUAUUUUCGAUUUCCUGAAACCUAACUUACAACUUAGUGGCAUCCAGAUGGAUUCUAUAGAAACAUAUAUUAUGUUUUUUCCGUCAAACAAAAAUUGAAUAAUAUAAAUGUUAUUAUGUCGUUGUCUAUCCAAAGUAGGAUUCUACACCAAUUCCUUAUAUAAUUGUGGGGACCGAAGUUAAUAAACCUUGGUUUCAAGGAAAAGUCGUUACACCAUUGGGAAAAGAUCUUUAUCGGUCUGUCUCUGACACUUCCUCUUGUGGUGGAAAAUCACAGCACGUGUUGUUAGCACUCACGAUCUAAUAAAUUAUUGGCCAUAUAUAUACAAAUAAAUCUAAAGUUGAUAAAAUCAAUUCAAUAAUUAUAUAGUGACAUGAUUGUCAUUUUUCUAACAGUCACAUGCUAAGAUGAUGAGAUUUAAGUAGAUCUAAUAAGUUUUUUUUUUUGUCGAUGUAUAUCUAAUCUAUUAAAAUAGAGUCCUAUCUGAAAUUAUCUUGGCAUGUUUUAAGUUUGGGCCUAUUAAACAAUAUUGUGCAAAAUGUAGCAUGUUUUAUAUAUAUUUAUUUGAUGACCGAUAUAUUUACAUUAAACAAACCUUAAUCAUUGGAUUAAUAUUAAAAUCUAUCCAGCAUCUAGGUCAUCUCUAGCGUCGUCAUCUUCUCCUCUUCCUAUGUUCCACCAUCAUUACCUCCGACCACUAUACACAGAUAGAGCCUGUUAUCCACUUCAGUGGGUCGAAGCCAAAGAAAGGAGCUUCUUCCUGAGCUUUCGUGAUUGUUUGUGUUACAACGCUUGAUAUAUUUUUUUUACCUUUUUUCACUUUGUUUACUUCUCUUUCAUUUAGACAAGUAACCGUAAUUGUAAAGACAUAAUGAUGAUUGGUUUCUGGAUAACUCAAGCCUUAAACUCUUUAUGCUUUUGAGGUAGAUUAACAUAUACACAACUUUGAAAUAAGGUGCAUCUGAGUUGUAAUUUCGCCUAAAUUUGAUUAAUGUUUACUAAGUUUUUUGUUAAACAAAAUAAAAUAAAUAGUUAGUUCAUAUU